RNAcentral lists this ribosomal RNA (700 nucleotides) under uncultured beta proteobacterium. RNAcentral's name for it is "bacterial SSU rRNA". It matches the Rfam family "Bacterial small subunit ribosomal RNA", at positions 82 to 778 of the family's 1533-position model. The record is from RNAcentral. Lineage: Bacteria; Pseudomonadati; Pseudomonadota; Betaproteobacteria.
CGGAUGCUGACGAGUGGCGAACGGGUGAGUAAUGCAUCGGAACGUGCCCAGUCGUGGGGGAUAACGCAGCGAAAGCUGCGCUAAUACCGCAUACGAUCUAUGGAUGAAAGCGGGGGACCGUAAGGCCUCGCGCGAUUGGAGCAGCCGAUGUCAGAUUAGGUAGUUGGUGGGGCAAAGGCUCACCAAGCCAACGAUCUGUAGCUGGUCUGAGAGGACGACCAGCCACACUGGAACUGAGACACGGUCCAGACUCCUACGGGAGGCAGCAGUGGGGAAUUUUGGACAAUGGGCGCAAGCCUGAUCCAGCAAUGCCGCGUGCAGGAAGAAGGCCUUCGGGUUGUAAACUGCUUUUGUACGGAACGAAACGGUCUGAGUUAAUACCUCGGGCUAAUGACGGUACCGUAAGAAUAAGCACCGGCUAACUACGUGCCAGCAGCCGCGGUAAUACGUAGGGUGCAGGCGUUAAUCGGAAUUACUGGGCGUAAAGCGUGCGCAGGCGGUGAUGUAAGACAGUCGUGAAAUCCCCGGGCUCAACCUGGGAAUUGCGAUUGUGACUGCAUCGCUGGAGUGCGGCAGAGGGGGAUGGAAUUCCGCGUGUAGCAGUGAAAUGCGUAGAUAUGCGGAGGAACACCGAUGGCGAAGGCAAUCCCCUGGGCCUGCACUGACGCUCAUGCACGAAAGCGUGGGGAGCAAACAGGAU